UAGACAGUGCCCUUAGGACAAAGUUCUUUGUCAAAAAAUCAAGGCAAAAAGAUAUAAACUACCCAAGUAACCAUCCAGCACUAAAACCAAAUCAUAAACCAGCAACAUAUUGGCACUCCAGUGCUAAUCAACCAUUAAACAGCACAUGUUAAUGCGAAUCAGCAUUUAUGAAGCUGCACUAUGGCUGAUUAGGUGCCGCAGCUAGCAACACUGUCAUGAUAUUACAAUAAACUGGCAACACGAUCACUAUUUUGAGUGAUGAAUGAGUGAAAGAGAGAGAACACCGAGCAAAACAAACCGGUUCAGAUUCUCGCUCACUCAUCGGACGAAAUAACCAGAGUAGCAGCAAAAUGCUGGUUUAAUUCUGUAUAAAAACAACGAAAUGAGAAAAGAUCAAGCCGUUCGGCUCAUCCCAUAACAUUGGUGCGAUGGCGUUUUCAAGGCUGGUUCUCGAAAAAAAUCACGUUACCCCAAAAACAACACCCACAAAGUGCACGGAAUGAACGACCGUGCUAAACCCGUGAAAUUUUGGUCCGCGGCCUGGCAGUUAACAUAGUUUUAGUGUUGAAUAUUGUGUUUGUUAAUAAAUUGAAAUUUUCUAACCAGA
Culex quinquefasciatus (southern house mosquito) is the source of this 607-nucleotide long non-coding RNA. RefSeq lists it as uncharacterized. The record is from RefSeq and is a predicted model, not a curated record. The transcript has 2 exons. NCBI's taxonomy places the organism in Eukaryota, Metazoa, Arthropoda, Insecta, Diptera, Culicidae.